This 544-nucleotide ribosomal RNA is filed under the name uncultured Gammaproteobacteria bacterium. RNAcentral's name for it is "bacterial SSU rRNA". It matches the Rfam family "Bacterial small subunit ribosomal RNA", at positions 29 to 567 of the family's 1533-position model. Lineage: Bacteria; Pseudomonadati; Pseudomonadota; Gammaproteobacteria. The record is from RNAcentral.
UUGACGCUGGCGGCAGGCCUACACAUGCAAGUCGAGCGGUAACAGAAAGAAAGCUUGCUUUCUUUGCUGACGAGCGGCGGACGGGUGAGUAAUGCCUGGGAAUAUGCCUUGAUGUGGGGGAUAACCAUUGGAAACGAUGGCUAAUACCGCAUAAUGCCUACGGGCCAAAGAGGGGGAUCUUCGGACCUCUCGCGUCAAGAUUAGCCCAGGUGGGAUUAGCUAGUUGGUGAGGUAAUGGCUCACCAAGGCGACGAUCCCUAGCUGGUCUGAGAGGAUGAUCAGCCACACUGGAACUGAGACACGGUCCAGACUCCUACGGGAGGCAGCAGUGGGGAAUAUUGCACAAUGGGCGCAAGCCUGAUGCAGCCAUGCCGCGUGUGUGAAGAAGGCCUUCGGGUUGUAAAGCACUUUCAGUCGUGAGGAAGGUAGUUGCGUUAAUAGCGUAAUUUUUGACGUUAGCGACAGAAGAACCCGGCUACUCCGUGCCAGCAGCCCGCGGUAAUACGGAGGGUGCGAGCNGUAAUCGGAAUUCUGGCGUAAAGCC